UGGCGGAACGGGUGAGUAAUAUAGUCGGAACGUGCCCAGUCGGUGGGGGAAGUAAACGUAGCGAAAGUUACGCUAAUACCGCAUACGAUCUAAGGAUGAAAGCGGGGGAUCGCAAGACCUCGCGCGAUUGGAGCGGCCGAUAUCAGAUUAGGUAGUUGGUGAGGUAAAGGCUCACCAAGCCAACGAUCUGUAGCUGGUCUGAGAGGACGACCAGCCACACUGGAACUGAGACACGGUCCAGACUCCUACGGGAGGCAGCAGUGGGGAAUUUUGGACAAUGGACGCAAGUCUGAUCCAGCCAUUCCGCGUGCAGGAUGAAGGCCCUCGGGUUGUAAACUGCUUUUGUACGGAACGAAAAGGUUUGUCUUAAUACGAUGAGCUCAUGACGGUACCGUAAGAAUAAGCACCGGCUAACUACGUG
This 421-nucleotide ribosomal RNA is filed under the name uncultured bacterium. RNAcentral's name for it is "bacterial SSU rRNA". It matches the Rfam family "Bacterial small subunit ribosomal RNA", at positions 96 to 507 of the family's 1533-position model. The record is from RNAcentral.